RNAcentral lists this ribosomal RNA (301 nucleotides) under uncultured bacterium. RNAcentral's name for it is "partial 16S ribosomal RNA". It matches the Rfam family "Bacterial small subunit ribosomal RNA", at positions 509 to 807 of the family's 1533-position model. The record is from RNAcentral.
CAGCAGCCGCGGGAAUACGUAGGGUGCGAGCGUUAAUCGGAAUUACUGGGCGUAAAGCGUGCGCAGGCGGUUUUGUAAGACAGGCGUGAAAUCCCCGGGCUCAACCUGGGAAUGGCGCUUGUGACUGCAAAGCUAGAGUAUGGCAGAGGGGGGUGGAAUUCCACGUGUAGCAGUGAAAUGCGUAGAGAUGUGGAGGAACACCGAUGGCGAAGGCAGCCCCCUGGGCCAAUACUGACGCUCAUGCACGAAAGCGUGGGGAGCAAACAGGAUUAGAUACCCGCGUAGUCCCUGUCUCUUAUAC